AUACUAAAUCUUUUUGGAGUGCAAUGCUAUACUCUCUAAAAACAUGAACAUCAUUUAUUUGAAGACACGGUUCUCUGUAGGGUCACUUGCCAUGACUUUAUUUUAGUAUAUUUCUGUGUGCAUGUGGCAGGGAAAACAUUGUUGUUUACUAGAAAUUCACUCUUUUAUCUGAAGAUUGGAGACUACAUAAGACUUUGACAGAUGGCGGGAAACCCUCAUGAACUGGAUAGAAGCCGGUAGAAGAAUGUCUGCGACUAAGCCGAGGGCCACUUGAGGAUUGGGUUGUUGAUGGUAAAACAGAUUGGAGACUACAUAAGACUUUGACAGAUGGCGGGAAACCAG
Dreissena polymorpha is the source of this 342-nucleotide long non-coding RNA. RefSeq lists it as uncharacterized. The record is from RefSeq and is a predicted model, not a curated record. The transcript is spliced from 3 exons. NCBI's taxonomy places the organism in Eukaryota, Metazoa, Mollusca, Bivalvia, Myida, Dreissenidae.